This 67-nucleotide transfer RNA is filed under the name Phreagena okutanii. Its description in RNAcentral is "tRNA-Met". The record is from RNAcentral. Lineage: Eukaryota; Metazoa; Mollusca; Bivalvia; Venerida; Vesicomyidae.
AAAUUAUUAUUUAAAGAGGGUUUAAAGAGGCCUUUAUGGGGUUUACUUAUGCUAAUUGGGUGAUUUG